UGGUCAAGUUAUUAAGGGUGCAGGGCGGAUGCCUUGGCACUAGGAGCCGAUGAAGGACGUGAUAAGCUGCGAUAAGCUUCGGGGAGUUGCACGUAAACUUUGAUCCGAAGAUUUCCGAAUGAGGAAACUCACUUAGAGUAAUGUCUAAGUAUCAUUAAGUGAAUACAUAGCUUAAUGAGGGGAACUCAGGGAACUGAAACAUCUAAGUACCUGAAGGAAGAGAAAGAAAUUCGAUUCCGUAAGUAGCGGCGAGCGAACGCGGAUUAGCCCAAACCAAUAAAGUUUUCUUUAUUGGGGUUGCGGACAUAUCAUAACGAAGAGGUAUCGUAAUUGAAGAGGUUUGGAAAGACCCACCACAGAAGGUAAUAGUCCUGUAUGUUAAACGAGAAGACUUUAGAUAUGAUCCAGAGUACCACGGGACACGUGAAACCCUGUGGGAAGCAGGAGGGACCACCCUCCAAGGCUAAAUACUACCUAGUGACCGAUAGCGUAUAGUACCGUGAGGGAAAGGUGAAAAGAACCCCGGGAGGGGAGUGAAAUAGAACCUGAAACCCUGCACUUACAAGCUGUGGAAGCACAUUUCUUGUGUGACCGCGUACUUUUUGUAGAACGGGCCAACGAGUUACGUUAAGUAGCAAGGUUAAGCACUUAAGGUGUGGAGCCGUAGCGAAAGCGAGUUUUAACUGAGCGUUCAGUUACUUGACGUAGACCCGAAACCGGGCGACCUACCCAUGAGCAGGAUGAAGCGAAAGUAAAAUUUCGUGGAGGUCCGAACCCACGAGCGUUGAAAAGCUCGGGGAUGACUUGUGGGUAGCGGUGAAAUUCCAAUCGAGCCCGGAGAUAGCUGGUUCUCCCCGAAAUAGCUUUAGGGCUAGCCUCAAGGUGAGAGAUACGGAGGUAGAGCACUGAAUGUCCUAGGGGGUAUUGCACCUACCGAAGACUAUCAAACUCCGAAUGCCGUCAUCUUAUACUUGGGAGUCAGACUGUGGGUGAUAAGAUUCAUAGUCGAAAGGGCAACAGCCCAGAUCGUCAGCUAAGGUCCCUAAAUGUAAGUUAAGUGGUAAAGGAUGUGGGAUUGCACAGACAACCAGGAUGUUGGCUUAGAAGCAGCCACUCAUUCAAAGAGUGCGUAAUAGCUCACUGGUCGAGUGAUCCUGCGCCGAAGAUUUCCGGGGCUAAAACUUACUACCGAAGCUACGGCAUCAGUAAUGAUGGGUAGGGGAGCUUCCCAUACGGGUUGAAGCAUGACCGUAAGGACAUGUGGACAGUAUGGGAGUGAGAAUGUUGGCAUGAGUAGCGAGAUGUGGGUGAGAAUCCCACAGGCCGUAAACCCAAGGUUUCCAGGGGAAGGUUCGUCCGCCCUGGGUUAGUCGGGACCUAAGCUGAGGCCGAAAGGCGUAGGUGAUGGACAACAGGUUGAUAUUCCUGUACUACCGAUAACCGUUUGAGAGAAGGGAUGACACAGUAGGAUAAGCUAAGCACACUGUUGGUUAUGUGUGCCCAAGCAUUGAGGCAGUCAAAGUAGGCAAAUCCGCUUUGAUAAUGCUGGGAUGUGAUGGGGAGCGAAAUUUAGUAGCGAAGUAGCUGAUUUCACACUGUCAAGAAAAGUCUCUAUCGAGGUUAAAGGUACCCGUACCGCAAACCGACACAGGUGGGUGAGGAGAGUAUCCUAAGGCCAGCGAGAGAACUGUUGUUAAGGAACUCGGCAAAAUGACCCCGUAACUUAGGGAUAAGGGGUGCCGCCAUCAGGUGGCCGCAGAGAAUAGGCCCAAGCGACUGUUUACCAAAAACAUAGGUUUCUGCUAAGUCGCAAGACGAUGUAUAGGAGCUGACGCCUGCCCGGUGCUGGAAGGUUAAGGGGAUCUGUUAGAGCAAUCGAAGCAGUGAACUUAAGCCCCAGUAAACGGCGGCCGUAACUAUAACGGUCCUAAGGUAGCGAAAUUCCUUGUCGGGUAAGUUCCGACCCGCACGAAAGGCGUAACGAUUUGGGCACUGUCUCAACAACAGACUCGGUGAAAUUGUAAUUCCGGUGAAGAUGCCGGAUACCUGCGACAGGACGGAAAGACCCCAUGGAGCUUUACUGUAGCUUGACAUUGGGUCUUGGUACUACAUGUACAGGAUAGGUGGGAGGCUUUGAAACCAGGACGCCAGUUUUGGCGGAGCCAUCCUUGGGAUACCACCCUUGUAGUACUGGGACUCUAACCAUAGGCCAUGAAUCUGGUCUUGGGACACUGUCAGGUGGGCAGUUUGACUGGGGCGGUCGCCUCCCAAAAGGUAACGGAGGCGCUCAAAGGUUCUCUCAGUACGGUCGGAAAUCGUACGUAGAGUGUAAAGGCAAAAGAGAGCUUGAUUGCAAGACAUACAGGUCGAGCAAGGAUGAAAAUCGGACUUAGUGAUCCGGUGGUUCUGCGUGGAAGGGCCAUCGCUCAACGGAUAAAAGCUACCCUGGGGAUAACAGGCUUAUCUCCCCCAAGAGUCCACAUCGACGGGGAGGUUUGGCACCUCGAUGUCGGCUCAUCACAUCCUGGGGCUGUAGUAGGUCCCAAGGGUUGGGCUGUUCGCCCAUUAAAGUGGUACGCGAGCUGGGUUCAGAACGUCGUGAGACAGUUCGGUCCCUAUCCGUCGCAGGCGUAGGAAAUUUGAGAAGACCUGUCCUUAGUACGAGAGGACCGGGAUGGACGUACCUCUGGUGUACCAGUUGUCCUGCCAAGGGCAUGGCUGGGUAGCUAUGUACGGAAUGGAUAAGCGCUGAAAGCAUCUAAGCGCGAAGCCAACUUCAAGAUAAGAUUUCCCACCGCAAGGGUAAGACCCCAGAAAGACUAUCUGGUUGAUAGGUCGAAGGUGUAAGUGCAGCAAUGUAUUUAGCUUAUCGAUACUAAUAGGUCGAGGACUUGACCAAU
Molecule: ribosomal RNA, 2900 nt
Filed under: Clostridioides difficile
Lineage: Bacteria; Bacillati; Bacillota; Clostridia; Peptostreptococcales; Peptostreptococcaceae
Description: bacterial LSU rRNA
Rfam family: Bacterial large subunit ribosomal RNA
Source: RNAcentral